Cylas formicarius (sweet potato weevil) is the source of this 1164-nucleotide long non-coding RNA. RefSeq lists it as uncharacterized. The transcript is spliced from 4 exons. NCBI's taxonomy places the organism in Eukaryota, Metazoa, Arthropoda, Insecta, Coleoptera, Brentidae. The record is from RefSeq and is a predicted model, not a curated record.
CAGACCCUCGCUGAUAAUUUAGUGGGCAAAUCGAUGUUUCGUUUGUAUAUUCCGGCUUAGUGCCUCUCGAGGGUAAAAGACGUUAUCUACUAUGGUUCGGAAAUGUUAGUUGCGUAAAUAACGUCUAGAAUUGGCCAUUAGUUUAGCCAUUGAAGAGUCUUGCUGGUUCGCAGCGUCUCCAUCGGUUCGGGAAACUGCUGUGGAGCUAAGGCGCCAUUUUGUUGCAUUAUACGGCGCAGCUGGAGGCCCGUGCGUGAUCCUCCUGAUUAUUGUUUGCUCUUAGACGCUUAGUCUGGGUGUAAGGGGGUAGUGGUUGAGCACAACUAGGGUACACCAUUUCGGGGAAUAAGUUUGAUUCCUGCCGUCGGCCGGGUUACUGGGUUUAGUUCUGAAUAAAAAAAAUCCCCUUUAGCCACAACAAUCUGUAAGCAACGCAAGCAUUGUCUUGAGAAAUGCGAGCCUCGAGAUAUUUGUCUCAAGUAUGUGAUCAAGUAAAAAUUUACUGGAACUGACAGUGGAAGUGGCGUGCACAAAAGUAAUAACUAAGUCAUACCGAGGUAGACCUGAAACGGCGAUGUUUAAUCGACUGAUACAUAUUGUCCUAUUAUCGUCGAUUAUUUUCGAAGUGCUUGGUCAAAGAAAAUGCCCCUGCAGCCGCCCCAAUGAAGUAUGCAAGGAAGCAAACCCUUGCCGUGAGCAAUGCUCGCCACCCGGCAUUUGCCCGCCCGACACAAUAAAAGCAUGUUUCUGCGAGGAGAGAUACUGUCUUGAUCUAGAAUCCGGAAGAUGUGUAGUUAAUCCCAGAGCAUAAUAUUUAUUGUACAGUGUAAAAUUGGGAAUAAAGUGUUGUGGAAACUUCAACAACUAUAAUUAGAAAACGUUUUCUAUUACUUCCAUUGUAAUUUAUAAAAUUAUUUUUUGAAUAGCCUCUUCGAGAGUGUAUAUUUUAGAAUUUGAGGGGGUAAAAUUCGAUCGCAGAUUGUGUUGUCAUAUUCUAUAUCGCUAACAGCCUAGUAUUUCACUUUAAACUUGUUAUAGAAGCUAAAAAUUGAAAAGUUUGAAAGUUUUGGUUUAUUUUUGCCAGCAAUAAAAAUGGUAAGGCUACCUCAACUUAGCAUUAUCAUCUGGGUAGAUUCACGGUAGGGAAAAUUUAAUAAGCGAAAA